AGUGGCGCGUGCUACCAUGCAAGUCGAACGAUGAUGCCCAGCUUGCUGGGCGGAUUAGUGGCGAACGGGUGAGUAAUACGUGAGUAACCUGCCCUUGACUCUGGGAUAAGCCUGGGAAACUGGGUCUAAUACUGGAUACUACCGUCCACCGCAUGGUGGGUGGUGGAAAGGGUUUUACUGGUUUUGGAUGGGCUCACGGCCUAUCAGCUUGUUGGUGGGGUAAUGGCUCACCAAGGCGACGACGGGUAGCCGGCCUGAGAGGGUGACCGGCCACACUGGGACUGAGACACGGCCCAGACUCCUACGGGAGGCAGCAGUGGGGAAUAUUGCACAAUGGGCGGAAGCCUGAUGCAGCGACGCCGCGUGAGGGAUGACGGCCUUCGGGUUGUAAACCUCUUUCAGUAGGGAAGAAGCGAGAGUGACGGUACCUGCAGAAGAAGCGCCGGCUAACUACGUGCCAGCAGCCGCGGUAAUACGUAGGGCGCAAGCGUUGUCCGGAAUUAUUGGGCGUAAAGAGCUCGUAGGCGGUUUGUCGCGUCUGCUGUGAAAGCCCGGGGCUCAACCCCGGGUCUGCAGUGGGUACGGGCAGACUAGAGUGCAGUAGGGGAGACUGGAAUUCCUGGUGUAGCGGUGAAAUGCGCAGAUAUCAGGAGGAACACCGAUGGCGAAGGCAGGUCUCUGGGCUGUUACUGACGCUGAGGAGCGAAAGCAUGGGGAGCGAACAGGAUUAGAUACCCUGGUAGUCCAUGCCGUAAACGUUGGGCACUAGGUGUGGGGGACAUUCCACGUUUUCCGCGCCGUAGCUAACGCAUUAAGUGCCCCGCCUGGGGAGUACGGCCGCAAGGCUAAAACUCAAAGGAAUUGACGGGGGCCCGCACAAGCGGCGGAGCAUGCGGAUUAAUUCGAUGCAACGCGAAGAACCUUACCAAGGCUUGACAUUCACCGGACCGCCCCAGAGAUGGGGUUUCCCUUCGGGGCUGGUGGACAGGUGGUGCAUGGUUGUCGUCAGCUCGUGUCGUGAGAUGUUGGGUUAAGUCCCGCAACGAGCGCAACCCUCGUUCUAUGUUGCCAGCACGUGAUGGUGGGGACUCAUAGGAGACUGCCGGGGUCAACUCGGAGGAAGGUGGGGAUGACGUCAAAUCAUCAUGCCCCUUAUGUCUUGGGCUUCACGCAUGCUACAAUGGCCGGUACAAAGGGUUGCGAUACUGUGAGGUGGAGCUAAUCCCAAAAAGCCGGUCUCAGUUCGGAUUGAGGUCUGCAACUCGACCUCAUGAAGUCGGAGUCGCUAGUAAUCGCAGAUCAGCAACGCUGCGGUGAAUACGUUCCCGGGCCUUGUACACACCGCCCGUCAAGUCACGAAAGUUGGUAACACCCGAAGCCGGUGGCCUAACCCCUUGUGGGAGGAGCCGUCGAAGUGAAGGGGGC
This 1425-nucleotide ribosomal RNA is filed under the name Kocuria rosea subsp. polaris. RNAcentral describes it as "bacterial SSU rRNA". It matches the Rfam family "Bacterial small subunit ribosomal RNA". Lineage: Bacteria; Bacillati; Actinomycetota; Actinomycetes; Micrococcales; Micrococcaceae. The record is from RNAcentral.